RNAcentral lists this long non-coding RNA (655 nucleotides) under Mus musculus (house mouse). RNAcentral's name for it is "long non-coding RNA chr2:121438942-121439597". Lineage: Eukaryota; Metazoa; Chordata; Mammalia; Rodentia; Muridae. The record is from RNAcentral.
GAUCUAGUCUUCCAGAGAGUCUCAAAGGUAGUUCAGGUAGACAGCACAGCCUUGGAUGAUAAAGGCUAAUGAUCGCACAAAAGACAGAAGCAAUCAGUUUUAAUUUUUCAGCCAUGUUACAUAAAGGUACACUAUAAGUUCAAUGAGUUCUGUCAUCAGAAGUUCUCAUUUUAUCCCUGCAAGGCAACUCCCCUCAAGUUGCUUAUUUGUCUAAUAUUCUCAAGGUUAACCUGGAAAUGUCACUUUUCAGGAUCUAGAAAUGACUUAGCUAAAGUAAAGUUGAAGAAGCCAAGCACCUCCUACUUUCCUAGUCUCCUGGCACAGCUGAGGAGAUGAUACCAUGCCCACACCCUAAAAAAAAUUAUGGCAACAUCAAAAAUCAAACUGCAAGAACCUAGGAUGGCUCUCUACUUGGUCACUGUGGAUGUAAGGGACAAAAUCAGAAAAGCAGCUGUUGUGUUCAUCACCGGGGAAGAUCCGAGCCCUCUGGACAGUCUCAGCUGCCCCUGUUCUUCUCCUCAAAUUCCAGGAUGAGACCUUUAAUGUGGGACAGUUUCUGAUGCAGGUACUCACAGCGAUGCUUCUCCUCCCUGUAACUUGGAUACCGCUGCAGAGAAAAAGCACCCUUGUCAAAAAGUAAAGCGGCUUCUACCUU